CUAGGGUGACGAGCGGCGGACGGGUGAGUAAUGUCUGGGAAACUGCCUGAUGGAGGGGGAUAACUACUGGAAACGGUAGCUAAUACCGCAUAACGUCGCAAGACAAAGAGGGGGACCUUCGGGCCUCUUGCCAUCAGAUGUGCCCAGAUGGGAUUAGCUAGUANGUGGGGUAACGGCUCACCUAGGCGACGAUCCCUAGCUGGUCUGAGAGGAUGACCAGCCACACUGGAACUGAGACACGGUCCAGACUCCUACGGGAGGCAGCAGUGGGGAAUAUUGCACAAUGGGCGCAAGCCUGAUGCAGCCAUGCCGCGUGUAUGAAGAAGGCCUUCGGGUUGUAAAGUACUUUCAGCGGGGAGGAAGGUGUUGUGGUUAAUAACCACAGCAAUUGACGUUACCCGCAGAAGAAGCACCGGCUAACUCCGUGCCAGCAGCCGCGGUAAUACGGAGGGUGCAAGCGUUAAUCGGAAUUACUGGGCGUAAAGCGCACGCAGGCGGUCUGUCAAGUCGGAUGUGAAAUCCCCGGGCUCAACCUGGGAACUGCAUUCGAAACUGGCAGGCUAGAGUCUUGUAAGGGGGGUAGAAUUCCAGGUGUAACGG
This 600-nucleotide ribosomal RNA is filed under the name uncultured bacterium. RNAcentral's name for it is "bacterial SSU rRNA". It matches the Rfam family "Bacterial small subunit ribosomal RNA", at positions 83 to 681 of the family's 1533-position model. The record is from RNAcentral.